UGUCAGCUUUGAGCGGAGUUGGAAGCAAUGACGUCGGUCUGGUGCGAGCAGAUGUCUCUGUCCUUUUAAUGACACCCAGAAAUGGUUUGCUGUAGGUGCUGGAUGCCAUCGAGCAGCGCUCGUACUUGCGUGGGAAGGAGAAGGAAGGAGGACACGAGAGUAGGAGAUUCUGGUGGGCUGGGAGCACGGGACAAUGCUGCUGGAAGGAAUGUGAGCCACGGAGCAUGGUUGGUGCCACAGCUAUCCAGGUGCUGAGAGCUGUCUGCAAAGGGCUUUGUCGAUGAGGGAAGGAAUUGGCUGGGACUGGAGAGCACAGAGCAGUUCCUGACACGCUUCACCAUGCGCAAAGGGGUGCCAAAGGACCCAGAGAUUGCUGACCUCUUCUACAAAGAUGAUCCUGAGGAAAUCUUCGUGGGUUUGCAUGAAAUUGGACAUGGAAGCUUUGGAGCAGUUUACUUUGUAAGUAGAGUUGGUUCUUUUUUUUGGAGAACAGAAUAAUUUCAAGUGAUGUUUUGGAGGCUUUUGAGCAUUUGUAGAAGGAGGUGUUCCUU
RNAcentral lists this long non-coding RNA (551 nucleotides) under Geospiza fortis (medium ground-finch). RNAcentral's name for it is "lncRNA (ENSGFOG00000001413.1)". Lineage: Eukaryota; Metazoa; Chordata; Aves; Passeriformes; Thraupidae. The record is from RNAcentral.